AUGGUGCCAAUGUAGACAAGGCCGACGCAGGUCAAAGUGUAGUAUCUGUUGUUAUCAUCCUAAUAUCUGCUAUAGAUGGUCUUUGGACACAAGAUAAUAAAUUUAUCUUUGCAAAUUGGCGGAGUGCUUGACGCCUGCUUCACCUUCGACGCGGUUCGGCACGAUAUUUCACUAUCUUCGGGAUCGGCAUACGGUUU
Molecule: small nuclear RNA, 197 nt
Organism: Dermacentor silvarum
Lineage: Eukaryota; Metazoa; Arthropoda; Arachnida; Ixodida; Ixodidae
Product: U2 spliceosomal RNA
Exons: 1
Source: RefSeq, a predicted model, not a curated record